Molecule: ribosomal RNA, 253 nt
Filed under: uncultured bacterium
Lineage: Bacteria
Description: partial 16S ribosomal RNA
Rfam family: Bacterial small subunit ribosomal RNA
Source: RNAcentral
GACAGAGGGGGCAAGCGUUGCUCGGAAUCACUGGGCGUAAAGGGCGCGUAGGCGGGAUGGCAAGUCAGUCGUGAAAUCUCUCGGCUCAACCGAGAAACGUCGGCUGAUACUGCCGUUCUUGAGGGAUGCAGAGGAGACUGGAAUUCCCGGUGUAGCGGUGAAAUGUGUAGAGAUCGGGAGGAACACCGGUGGUGAAGGCGGGUCUCUGGGCAUCUCCUGACGCUGAGGCGCGAAAGCGUGGGGAGCAAACGGG